Molecule: ribosomal RNA, 867 nt
Filed under: uncultured bacterium
Lineage: Bacteria
Description: bacterial SSU rRNA
Rfam family: Bacterial small subunit ribosomal RNA
Source: RNAcentral
GUUUGAUCAUGGCUCAGGAUGAACGCUGGCGGCGUGCUUAACACAUGCAAGUCGAACGUGAACCCAAUUUCGGUUGGGGGAAAGUGGCGAACGGGUGAGUAACACAUUGGUGACCUGCCCCGCGGAGGGGGAUAACACCUCCAAAGAGGCGCUAAUACCCCGGAGGUCUUCCUUUUGGAGAGGGAGCGACUAAAGGGCAAAUCCCCCUCGGGAGGGGCCUGCGGGCUAUCAUCUAGUUGGGGGGGUAAAGGCUCACCAGGGCGAAAACGGCUAGGGGGCGUGAGAGCGUGGCCCCCCACAAUGGAACUGAGACACGGUCCAUACUCCUACGGGAGGCAGCAGUGAGGAAUAUUGCCCAAUGGGGGAAACCCUGAAGCAGCCACGCCGCGUGAACGAUGACGGCCUUCGGGUUGUAAAGUCCUUUUCUGGGGGAAGAUGAUGACUGUACCCCAGGAAUAAGUCCCGGCUAAGUACGUGCCAACCACCGCGGUAUAACGUACGGGGCGAGCGUUAUCCUCAUUUACUGGGCGUAAAGCUCCCGCAGGCGGCUGGUCAAGUUGGACGUGAAAGCUCCCGGCUUAACUGGGAGAGGUCGUACAACACUGACCGGCUAGAGGCUGAAAGAGUAGAUCAGAAUUCCCGGUGUGGUGGAGGAAUGCGUAAUAUCGUGAGGAAUACAGUGUGCAAAGCGACUCUCUGGAUCACAGCUGACGCUGAUGUGCGAAUGCGCGGGGAGCGAACGUGAUUAUAUACUCUGUUACUCUCGCCAUAAACGAUUGAUACUGCUCGUUGGGGUAAUCUCCCUCCCCCUGUGCCGAAAGCUAACACGAAAAGUAUUCCGCAGGGGACUACGGCCGCGUGUUAAAG